This is a long non-coding RNA of Nannospalax galili (Upper Galilee mountains blind mole rat), 278 nucleotides long. RefSeq lists it as uncharacterized. The transcript is spliced from 3 exons. NCBI's taxonomy places the organism in Eukaryota, Metazoa, Chordata, Mammalia, Rodentia, Spalacidae. The record is from RefSeq and is a predicted model, not a curated record.
GAGCAAAUGACUCAGAAAGUCUUCACCUAACACUGAGGCGGAAGCAGGCCCCACGUGCCUUACUGUGCAGCCGAAUAAGAUCCCAUACGCAUCGCAUGUUCAUUACCCGUUGGUCUGUUGGUGGACGUCGAGGCUACUCCAUUUCCUGCCUGUUGUGAAUAGCACAGGGAACUGCAUCUAUCUAUCAGUGCCAGCUUCCACCGGUUCAUCAGCUGUACCAAGCAACUGGGGACUAUCAACCUGUUUUCUCUUGCUGUAACAAAGUUCAAGAGACAAAG